CUUUAGCCCCGUAGCCUUGCUCUCUGACAUAUUCCCUUCAAGAGCUCUUGCUUCACAACUUCUUAGUAGCUGGAGAUAAACAUGGAAGCCUCCUCCAAUCCUGGCCCAAAUAUUUUGAUGAUAAAGUUUCGUAGACCAGAGGCCGGAUUGACGAUUUUACCCUUUUGAUGGGAAGAUAAUGGUGACCUUGACUUUGAAUGAUCCCUUUGGCUACAAAAAGAACAAAAAUCAAUGCAGCUGAUUUGGGUUUGGCUACACAUAAUCCAAUUUGGAUUGUACCUUGUCAACUGAACGCCAUCGCCUGUAACCCAAUUAGCUUGCACAAAUCACAGCGCUCCAAGGACUGGCCAGGGCAUUUAUUGUGCCCUUUGAUCUGCAAUCUGCAAAUGGAGACUCAAAUACCCAAGGCUGUAACUCAGUUUGAAUCCAAAGACCUGAAAACCAGGAGAGUCACUUUGCUGUUUAUGGGCAAGAGAAGAUGAUGUCACAGCUCAAAGAGACAGAGAGAGUUUGCCCUUUCCUUGGUCCUACUCAGUCUGUUAACAGAUUAGAUGGUGUCUAUGCACACUACUGAGGGCAUAUAUGCCCACAUAUAGGGCAUACCUGCUUGUAAACAGAUGAACUUUGAGGUUGGGAUAGAAAAACAAUUUGCCACUACAGGAAAAACAUCUGUGUAAAAACAAUAUUUGUUUUCACAUGCCUUAUUGACUUGAGGGUUCUCUUGGCCAAACAAAACCAUAGUCAAUGCCAGCCCUUGUCAUUCAGAAGCUGAUCUGAUACUAAAAAGAGAAUUUACUGUUGGUUAAUGGUAUUUACUAUUCAUGGAUGAUAGACCUUGGUAUUAUUUUAUAAAAUAUAAAACAUUGUACCAAGUAAAAACAAAUAAAGUAAUUCAAUAUUUUAUUAGAUCAAGUUCCUCCCGCAAAUCCUAAAAAAUAACAACAUCAAAUCUAGAAUCAUGUUAAAAUAGAGGCAAAAACAUGAACUGUUACUAAACCCAAACAAAACAAAGCAAAGGCA
Arvicola amphibius (Eurasian water vole) is the source of this 1020-nucleotide long non-coding RNA. RefSeq lists it as uncharacterized. The transcript has 5 exons. NCBI's taxonomy places the organism in Eukaryota, Metazoa, Chordata, Mammalia, Rodentia, Cricetidae. The record is from RefSeq and is a predicted model, not a curated record.